GCCCGGGGGCGGCGUGCUAUACAUGCAGUCGAGCGGACGGAUGGGAGCUUGCUCCCUGAAGUCAGCGGCGGACGGGUGAGUAACACGUGGGCAACCUGCCUGUAAGACUGGGAUAACUCCGGGAAACCGGGGCUAAUACCGGAUAACUCUUUUCCUCACAUGAGGAAAAGCUGAAAGAUGGUUUCGGCUAUCACUUACAGAUGGGCCCGCGGCGCAUUAGCUAGUUGGUGAGGUAACGGCUCACCAAGGCCACGAUGCGUAGCCGACCUGAGAGGGUGAUCGGCCACACUGGGACUGAGACACGGCCCAGACUCCUACGGGAGGCAGCAGUAGGGAAUCUUCCGCAAUGGACGAAAGUCUGACGGAGCAACGCCGCGUGAGUGAUGAAGGUUUUCGGAUCGUAAAACUCUGUUGUCAGGGAAGAACAAGUACCGGAGUAACUGCCGGUACCUUGACGGUACCUGACCAGAAAGCCACGGCUAACUACGUGCCAGCAGCCGCGGUAAU
Molecule: ribosomal RNA, 507 nt
Filed under: Cytobacillus oceanisediminis
Lineage: Bacteria; Bacillati; Bacillota; Bacilli; Caryophanales; Bacillaceae
Description: bacterial SSU rRNA
Rfam family: Bacterial small subunit ribosomal RNA
Source: RNAcentral